This 498-nucleotide ribosomal RNA is filed under the name uncultured bacterium. RNAcentral describes it as "bacterial SSU rRNA". It matches the Rfam family "Bacterial small subunit ribosomal RNA", at positions 26 to 518 of the family's 1533-position model. The record is from RNAcentral.
AGGAUGAACGCUAGCGACAGGCUAACACAUGCAAGUCGAGGGGCAGCAUAAAAGUAGCAAUACUUGGUGGCGACCGGCGCACGGGUGAGUAACGCGUAUGCAACCUACCUAUCAGAGGGGAAUAACCCGGCGAAAGUCGGACUAAUACCGCAUAAAACAGGGACACCGCAUGGUGAUAUUUGUUAAAGAAAUUCGCUGAUAGAUGGGCAUGCGUUCCAUUAGGUAGUUGGUGAGGUAACGGCUCACCAAGCCGACGAUGGAUAGGGGAACUGAGAGGUUGGUCCCCCACACUGGUACUGAGACACGGACCAGACUCCUACGGGAGGCAGCAGUGAGGAAUAUUGGUCAAUGGGCGAGAGCCUGAACCAGCCAAGUCGCGUGAAGGAAGAAGGAUCUAUGGUUCGUAAACUUCUUUUGCAGGGGAAUAAAGUGCAGGACGUGUCCUGUUUUGUAUGUACCCUGAGAAUAAGGAUCGGCUAACUCCGUGCCAGCAGCCGC